Molecule: ribosomal RNA, 263 nt
Filed under: uncultured Micrococcus sp.
Lineage: Bacteria; Bacillati; Actinomycetota; Actinomycetes; Micrococcales; Micrococcaceae
Description: partial 16S ribosomal RNA
Rfam family: Bacterial small subunit ribosomal RNA
Source: RNAcentral
UCCUUCGUGUUCGAGCGUGAUCCGGAAUUAUUGGGCGUAAAGAGCUCGUAGGCGUUUUGUCACGUCUGUCGUGAAAGUCCGGGGCUUAACCCCGGAUCUGCGGUGGGUACGGGCAGACUAGAGUGCAGUAGGGGAGACUGGAAUUCCUGGUGUAGCGGUGGAAUGCGCAGAUAUCAGGAGGAACACCGAUGGCGAAGGCAGGUCUCUGGGCUGUAACUGACGCUGAGGAGCGAAAGCAUGGGGAGCGAACAGGAUUAGAUACC